AUAGGGAUAAUACUUACAAUUCCUUGUGAGGAUUAAUAAAAGAAAUGUACAUAAAUUGCUUAGCACAGAGUAUGGCAUAGAGAAAGCACUCUAUCAAUAUUAUUAUUUAUUUGACCCAAGUCUCAUUUUCUUUCUUAAAUUCCUUAGUACCUUUUUGUUUUCAGAACAAUUCAUAUAAUCAGGGAAAAAAUCUUCCAAGCUCAUUCGCAUGGCUGUCAGCAGGGGGCUUCAGUUCCUCACUGUGUGCGCCUCUCCACAGCACUGCUCACAGCAUAGCUUCUCCCAGAGCAAGAGAUCCAAGAGAGAGGGAAAUAGAAAGGAUGACUAGGACAGAAGGCAGAUUUUUAUAACCUUAUCCUGGAAGUGAAACGCCAUCAUUAGGCUAUUGGUCUCACAGACCUGGGAACAGACUGCACGAAGGUGUAAAUACAAGAAGGCAGGGAUCAUUGGAGGACAUCAUAGAGGCUGUGGAGUUUGAAAUAAUCAAAUCUUCUAAAUUGCAAAGCCAGUAACAAAUUAACAUAGUACCAUAGGCAGGGUUAUUUUUGUACAGCUGCAAAAACUUAUUCAAAUCAUUCAUAUUAUGUUGCAAAGAUUAAAAGGGAAAUAGCUAUUUAAAAAAAAAAAAACAGUAAAUAUCCAUGAGAAAUGUCAACUUGGAUUUUCUUCCUAACCCAAAAAUGAUUGAAAUGUUCUUCCUGCCCAACUUUCAACUCAUGGCAAUAGUUCGUUUUCAUUCUAAAAAUUCAAGACUUGACUCAGCAAACACAUCAGUGCCAAGAAAGCGAAUUUCCAAAAUUAUGUCUGUCUCUUUAUGGAGCACAGGCCAAACUUAAAGGAAAAAGAAUUUAGACCACAAAAUAAUCUGUCAUUUCUAGUCUUCAUACCAGCAUAUUGAAAUGCUGGGGUCUUCGACAUUUUAUAUAAGGCAUAAAAUUUAAGAAAAUACUUUCUAGAAUGCCUUAUUACCCAAGUCUGAAUUGAAAGAUGGUUUUUAGGCCGGGCACAGUGGCUCAAGCCUGUAAUCCCAGCACUUUGGAAGGUGGAGGUGGGCGGAUCGUUCGAGCCUAGGAGUUCAAGACCAGCCUGGGCAACAUGGCAAAAUCCCCUCUCUACCAAAAAUACAAAAAUUAGACAGUCUCAUAACCCAAUCUCAAAAUAAUAAAUAGAUAAAAAUUAAAAAUAAAAUAAAAUAAUAAAGAAAGAUGAUUUUUGCAUCACCAAAUCUUUACACUGAUUUCUCUCUAGUUUUUCCUUUGCAAUGAAAUGUCACUCAGACUUGGACUAAGAUUAAGUCAUAACUGACAGCUGUUGACUCUCUCAAGCUCUUCUCUGACCGUAUCAAGCCUGAGUAUCCUUAUUUUGCACAUUCUUCCUUAUGUAAGAUGCUUCUGAGGGAUGGUGGCAGUGGCUGGCAUGUACUAAUACAAAAUACUUCAAAUUAUAUUUUUGAGCUGGAAAUUCAAGAGAAACAAAUACCAGGCUGAAGUCAGUUGCUACUGAAUGAUGGAGAAUCUCCAUUCCAAAGGACAGUCUUUAUUUAUGGCUUCAUCCUAGGUUGGUGCCUUCAAAGUUGUCCUUUGCAAGUGUUUCAUCCCAGUUCUACUCUGAGUGCCAAGAAGCCAGGAACAUUUGGUGAACUCGGCUAUGUCUCUCUGCACUGGUGGUGACUUUUUGCUGCUCCUCCCUAGACAACCCCUAUGUGACAUAAGAUGAUAUUGUAAAAGUCAUAAGAUAUUCACGAAUUAAGCAAACCAUCACCAAUACCUUAAAUGAUGUAAUUACUUAUAUAUAGCCAUUUUUUAAACGGAGUGGGAUGAGGGAUGCUAAGAUGUAGGCCAUACAAAAUUUAUUUAAAAGAUCUUUUUUGGGCCAGGCAUGGUGGCUCAUGCCUGUAAUCCCAGCACUGUGGGGAGACGGAGGAGGGUGGAUCACUUGAGGACAAGAGUUCAAGACCAGCCUGGCCAACAUGGCAAAAUCCUGUCUCUACUAAAAAUACAAAAAAUUAGCCAGGUGUGGUGGUGUGCUCCUGUAAUCCCAGCUACUCAGGAGGCUGCAACACGAGAAUCACUUGAACCUGGGAGGCAGAGGUUGCAGUGAGCCAAGAUGGCACCACUGCACUCCAGCCUGGGUGACAGACUGGGACUCUGUCUCAAACAAACAAAAAAAAGACCUUUCUCACUAAUGAGUUUGUCGAUGGCUAAAAAAUAUUUUGAUCAUGUUCUGGAGUUAAUUACCCUCACGUUUGACUUUGAACCAAACUCAAUUACAUACAAGAAUUAAUCGAAACACACUUAGCUUAAGGCACAGGUAAACCAUGAAGAAGACUUAGAAGCUGUGCAGUGUCAUCGUAAAUUAGCAGAAGCUUUAUUACCUGCCCUAAUUCAAAUUACAUGCUUUCACACUUGCUUUGUUCAAAAGGUACAACAGGUAGAAGGCAUCCUCAAAUGACAGCUUCACUCUCAGUGGUGUCUCUUACAGGUAUUUUCAAGCAGAAAUUGUGCACAUAUUACAAGUUAACAAGAAAUGGAAACCAUCUCAGCAGGUAAUCUUUCAAAUCCCAAUUCCAGGAAACCAAAAUGUCAAUUAAAGCACCCUGGGCUUUUUAGUGAUGCUCAAUACCUACUUAUAAAUGAUUGUGAUGUUAUAGGUUUUCUUUCCAUCUAACUUGUGCUUUAGGCAUCUCAACAUUGGAAAGGAGACCAUAGGUCAUCAUGGAGUCUAAUCCUUUGGCCCCACCACCAUCCCGCAGUGGCAUAUGUGAAAGGUUGUCAACAUCAUCACUUUGUUGUCACUGUCACCCUCAACCUACGAGGACUCCACUUGACUUCAUCCUGAAAACACACUUAGGUACAGGUAAGUAUGCUUUCAGUGUCCCAGAACAGCGUAUUCGAAACCAGAUCACGCCACCGCUCAGCUGGACCUGCCACCCUUAUAAUAAAAUCAAAACUCGGCCGGGCGCGGUGGUUCAUGCCUGUAAUCCCAGCACUUUGGGAGGCCAAGGCAGGUGGAUCACCUGAGGCCACAAGUUCACCACCAACCCGGCCAACAUAGUGAAACCUCGUCUCUACUAAAAAUACAAAAAUGAGCUGGGCAUGGUGGCACACACCUGUAGUCCCAGAUACUCAGGAGGCUGAGGCACAAGAAUCACUUGAACCCGGGUGGCAGAGGUUGCAGUGAGCCGAGAUCACACCACUGCACUCCAGCCUGGAUGAUAGAGUGAGACUCCAUCCUCCUGCCACUACCAAAUAAAAAAAAAAAAGAAACCUCAUCUCCAUGACCUGAAAGGCCCUACAGGCCUCCAUCUCCUGUUUGUGCCCGACUUGAGCCACAUUCAUCUGCUAGUUCUUCCUCAAACCUGCCACGUUCUUUGCCGCCUCGGUGAAUUGUUGGCACUGCUCCCUCUGCCCGCUGUCCUCUGCCCCCAGAUCACCAGGAGACCAACUCCUACUCAAAAUCCAGGUCCUGUCUCAAGUUUCUAACUUCCAGAGAGGCCUUCCCUGACCAGUGCAUCUAACACCUAUUGCAUUACCCAUUAUCUCUCAAAACUAGCUGUUAUUUUUUUCCGCAUUUAUUCACUCACAUGCCUAUUACGUGCCAUAUGUGUGCACACAAGAUGGUAAGCUUUAUAAUAAUAGCAGCUGAUCAAAGCUAAAGCUUACACUGUAUGGAAAAUUUACUAUGUGACAGGCUCAGUUCUAAGCACUUCAGUUUCUCACAAGCCUAUAAGGCAAGUAAGAAUAUUAUCCUCCUCUUACAAAUGAGAAAACUAAAGCACAAAGAGGUUAAGUAACUUGUCCAAGACACACAACCACUAAAUGGUAAAGCUGGGAUCCAAGUCUGGAAGUUUGUGGCUCUAGAAUCCACACUGAUAAGUAGGAAAUUCUGCCUCCUUCCCACAAGAGCAGAGACCUGCUCUGUCUUGCUCACUGCUGAAUCUCCAGGAGCCUAGAAUGCUUGGAAGAGAAGGCCAGGGGAGGGAGCUGACUGUCUCCUAGCCUAGGUGGACUUCCUUUUUCUCUCCUAUCAUACCCCAAAUACUUCCAACCCAGGGAUCCUAUCCCCCAUUCCUAACAGUAUCCUCAGUUCCAUCACUGCAAGUGUCAUCUGAAAUCCUACAAUGGGGUGACUCAGCUCAAAAUUUCUUUUUUUUUUUUUUUUUUCUUUUUGAGAUGGAGUUUCACUCUUGUUGCCCAGGCUGGAGUGCAAUGGUGCAAUCUCAGCUCACUGCAACCUCCGCCUCCCAGGUUCAAGCAAUUUUCCAGCCUUGCGUCCUGAGUAGCUGGGAUUACAGGCAUGCGCCACCACGCCCAGUUAAUUUUGUAUUUUUAGUACAGACGGGGUCUCAUCAUGUUGGCCAGGCUGGUCUCAAACUCCUGACCUCAAGUGAUCUGCCCUCCUCAGCCUACCAAAGUGCUGGGAUUACAGGUGUGAGCCACCACGCCUGGCUCAGCUCUUAAUUUCUUCAUUCACAAAGCAAUAAUUUCGAGGACUCAGAAAGCAUCUCUUCCUUCAUUCACUGAGCCCAACUAUCCAUCUCACUCACGUUUUUUUAAAAUUCUGGAAAAAGAAGUCAAGUUAGAAAGAACAGCCAAAGUUUUUUUCUUUUCUUCCCCCCCCCCGCCACCCCCCACAGCUACUCACAGAGAUAUCAAGAUGUCUGGAACAGAAAAUAAGGACUGAAUAUUAAACUCACCCAGUUCAAUUUUCUUAUAGUAAUUUACCAAAUAAGGCAUAACCUCAGCCUACAAGCCCUUCCUUCUACUCCAGCUUCUAUUUGGGUCAUAAUAUAUCUAUCUUCAAAUGAUCACAUUCCCGGGGUGGAAAAGUAGCCUGUUGCUUAAUCAAAACGUCAUCCAACAAAAACCAUUCUCGCAGUUAAAUUCCGUUUCCUUCAGGAGCAGUUGGCUGAAAGCUCGCUGGGACAUGUGGUUUCAGCUAUUCUUACUCUUCAGGGAAGUGCUAUUUUUCUUCAAAGCAACGUAGCCCAGCAACCCCAAGGAAACCUGAUUAACUUCUUUGGUGAUGUGCUAGUAAAACUCACUGUUGUCUUGCUUCAGGGAAUUUUAAUGGCAGCAUUUCUGUUUCAUUCAUUAGAACCUUGAAGUACCCAAAGAAAUGAAUAUCCUUUCUCUUUCUUUGUUCCUCAUUUUGUUUUCAGAAUGCAGGUCAGGAUCAGAAACUGGGAACCAUGUGACACCUCUGCAAAGAGUCGAUAGGUAGAUAAACUUGAUGGCUUGCAAUCCAAAGGGUGCUCAUAAAGGAAAAGCUUAGGUGUUAAUAGGACAUGCCAAUUACUCCAGUGUCGGGCUGCAUAGCUCAGAUGGCUCCAGCACCAGGCCAAGAGACCAAAAAUUCAGAAUCAGUCUUCUCAAUAAACUGUGAGCUCAGCAAUAUUCCAAUAUUAAGCAGCACCCUGGACUCCAGAGAGUCAUCUUGAAAGUAUGUGCGGGUGAUUAAAGAGGAACUGGCCUCUAGAGUGGGUCACUACAAACUGACCAUCAUUCCCGGAAAAGCUGCUGAGCACAUGGCCUUCAGCACAUGGCCUUGUCCCUGGGCAACCGACACAUCUGGAUGAGGGUGGGACAAGUGAACAGUGGUGGGAUUAAUUAUACAAGCAAACAGUGGUGGCUUUAAGGUCCAGCUUUUAAAAAGCUGGGGCCAAAAAGUUAGGUGUUUUAAAUUCUGGGUCAUGCCCCUUAUUAGCUGUGUGACACUGGACAAAUUACUUAGCCUCUCUAAGCCAUACUUUUGGAGAUCAUUUGAAAUAUAGCACAUAGGUAUAUGAAAAAUAAACAGGUAAUGGCUGGGUGUGGUAGCUCACGCCUAUAAUCCCAGCAUUUUGGCAGGCCAAGGUGAACAGAUUACCUGAGGUCAGGAGUUCAAGACCAGCCUGGCCAACAUGGUGAAACACCGUCUCUACUACAAAUACAAAAAUUAGCCACACAUGGUGGUGCACGCCUAUAAUCCCAGCUACUCGAGAGGCUGAGGCAGGAGAAUCGCUUGAACCCAGGAGGUGAAGGUUGCAGCGAGCCAAGAUCGCCCUACUGUGUACUCCAGCCUGGGCAAGAGACUGAGACUCCAUCUCAAAAAAAAAAAAAAAGGCAAGAUAGAGAAGUCAUUGUGACUUAGCACAGAGUUGCUUAUCAGUAGCUGAGGUGCAGACUGGUUAAAUGAUGGGUAUAUAUAAGAGAACUAGUUAGUACACAGGUCCCCUAAUGUUUGGUAUUGUGGAAGAGGCCCUGGCCUGAGAGUUGGAAUGCUCGCUUAUUAGUGCAAGCACAGCCACAGAUUAUAUAUGUGCUGUAGAGCUUACCCCGUCCAAUGUUUAUUCUACUUAAAUCUAAAUAAUUACAAUUAAAUGAAUUAAAAUGAAAUAGAAUUAGAAAUUUAAUUUCCCGGCCAGGUGCAGUGGCUCAUGCCUGUAAUCCCAGCACUUUGGGAGGCCAAAGCAGGCAGAUCACUUGAGGUCAGGAGUUCGAGACCAGCCUGGCCAGCAUAGUAAAACCCAGUCUCUACUAAAAAUCCAAAAAAAUUAGCUGGGCAUCAAGGCGUGUGCCUGUAAUCCCAGGUACUUGGGAGGCAGAGGCAGAAGAAUCACUUGAACCCGGGAGGCGGAGGUUGCAGAUCACGCCACUGCACUCCAGCCUGGGUGACAGAGUGAGACUCCAUCUCAAAAAAAAAAAAAAAGAAAAGGAAAGAAAAGAAAUUUAAUUUCCUAGUCACACUAGCCACAUUUAUUUCAAGAGCUCCGUAGCCAUGUGUGGCUUUUAGCUUCUAUAUUGGAUAGCUCCACUGUAGAACAUUUUAAACAUCACUGCAAGUUCUGUUGGACAGUACUGCUUUAGCAAGCAGGUGAACCUUUUGGCUCCCACUUCGGCUUUUUUGAGGAGUUGGUAAAAUAUGACCAUUAAGCAUAACUUUGGAGUUAUGCUGACUUCAGAUUCUGAUUCUGGUUUCUCAAAUCCUGCCUGACAUUGAACAAACAACUUGCCUUCAGUUUCAUCAUCUGUAAAAUUGAGAUAAUAAUAGCCCCUCACAGACUUAUAAAAUAUUAUAUGAGAGACUGUAUUAGAUAUAUGUGGUUAGUACUUCAUAUGGUUUGGCUGUGUCCUCACCCUUCUCAUCUUGAAUUGUAGCUCCCAUAAUUCCCACGUGUUGUGGGAGGCACCCGGUGGGAGAUAACUGAAUCAUGGGGGUGGUUUCCCCCAUAUUGCUCUGGUGGUAGUGAAUAAGUCUCACAAGAACUGAUGGUUUUAUAAGGGGAAACCCCUUUUGCUCGGUUCUUAUUUUUUCCUUUUGCCUGCUGCCAUGUAAGACAUGUCUUUUACCUUCCACCAUGAGUGUGCCGCCUCCCCAGCCAUGUGGAACUGUGAGUCCAUUAAACCUAUUUUUCUUUAUAAAUUACCUAGUCUCAGGUAUGUCCUUAUUGGCAGUGUGAGAACAGACUAAUACAGUAUUAAAUGCUCAAGAGAUAGCAUGUAUGUAUUUUACAUAGAGUUUAUCAUUUGUAUCAGGUCUCGUAAGUCGAGGCAUCUGUCUGCCUCCAGAGACCAAUCUCUUAAAACACUUUCUCCCCUUGCAGGGUUGGAGACUUUCACUAUGUAACUUAAAAUAAAACAGUGAAGGAAGAUUUUUCCUGCAGUGCCAUUUUGACCAGAGCUGGAUUUACUCUAACAAGUGCCUGCACCUCUUGGUCGAGUUCCCUGAGCAUCGGCCCUCUCCUGUGGCUUUGGGAAGAGGUCUUGACUUAGGAAGAAGGCUUCCAUGAUCCUCUCAGCCUGAGACUGGCCUGGGGUUUUAAUUCCCACCCUCUGCUUAUCUCUUGGCCGACAUUUGGGCAUGCCACAUGCCCCUUCUUUGGUGCAAGGUCUAUCAUCUGCAAGGUGCAUUUUACAGAAAAAAAGGCAGAGUCCUGCUCUUGACCUUUCUCCUUCUCACCAGGGAAAUGCUUCAUGCCAUCCACCCUGAGCAGAAGUCCAGAGACACCUGGGCAACUUCCAUGGUGCAUUUAAAAAGGGAAGAAAUGCCAGAAUACAGCUGUAAAAAUGAUGGUAUAUUUUAAAUAUCAAUACCUAAUAAAUCAAUGCUUUUAAUGCCUACAUAAUAUGCCACGUGGAGUGACUGCCAUUACGAGACAAUUAUGGUCUCAUAAAAAAUAUUAAUUAUCAGUGUCUUGUAUUGUAGAGUGUGUGGUCUGGUAAUAGGGCUCAUGUGUAACAUCGUAAUGAUUGUAUUGUCAUUUCAGUCACCAUUAUAGUGACUGUAUAUCUAAGCUCAGUAGGCACCAGUGCCAAAAAUCUACAUUUGAAGCCCUUUGUGACUGAUGCAUCCCAGGUACUAAAAGCUCUCAUGAGAGGUCCUGAGAGCACAAGUCCUGGCUUACUUCAAAAAAUAUAUAUUUUUGUUUGUUUGUUUCUUAACAGUAAGGAAAAUGAUUUUUUAUUUUUUUAUUUUUCUAAAGACAGGCUCUCCCUCCGUCACCUAGGCUACAGUACAGUGGCACAAUCAUAGCUCACUGCAACCUCCAACUCCUGGGCUCAAGGGAUCCUUCUGCAGCAGCCUUUUGAACAGCUGGGACCACAGGCUCAUGCUGCCAUGCCCAGGUUAUUUUUGUUUUUGUUGAAAUGGGGUCUUGCUUUGUUGCCCAGGCUGGGAAAAUGAAUAUUUUAAUGCAAGGGGUUUCUCAGAAUAGAGGAAAAGUUCAAGACACAUCAUAAAGUAAAACUUGUUUGCCUUCUGACAUAAAUAUUUGCUUUUCUUUAUAUGUGCAUAUAAUUUAUUUCUCUGGUCUUGCCUUCUGCUUCAGUAGUUACUGAUUUAUGAACCAAUGUUUAGUAGUGCUCUCCUUUGAAGCUGGGGAAAAUUAAGUGAAGUUCUUUUAUGUGAAUAAUGUGGAGUACAAUGAGACUCUCCGAGGCCUCUCUGUGAAAUGACUUUAAAACCACUGGUGAGCAUUUCAACUCUGGACUUUUCUGUCUUUUAAAAUUCACUCACAUAGUUUGGAUGAAAAGAAUUUCAACAGACAAUGAGAUUUAGAUAGCCUGAUUCUAAGUUUCGGUGCUCUUCUCCAAAUACAGUUUCUUUUUAGGUGAAUAUUAUGUUUUAAAAUUUUUUAAAAAUGAAAUUAGAGUUUGAUAGCAGUCUUUUAAAUAAGUCAUUUCCCCACCCCUCCUUAUCUCUCUCUCCCUCCCAAUUAUUCUGUCACUUAUUCACUGAUGCCCUGGCUAACACAGUCACUCAGCACUCCUCCUAGAGAGAACAUUAGUUGACAAUGGCCGCUUCCAGGGUGGGUAACUUUGCCAAAUUACUUAACUUCUUUAUGUUUCAGUUUUUUAUAUUUGUAAAAUGGGAAUAGUGAUGGUACUCACCCCAUAAGGUGAUUAUAAUAGUACAGUUUAUAAGUUGGUGGGAGGUUUGAAUGAGUUAAUGCAUCUAAAGUACUUGAAGUCGUACCUAGCACCCAGGAAGUACUCAUGUUGUCAUAUUUUACUCAUCAAAUAGUAAUUGAGUGCCUUCUUAAAAGGUAGUGUAGGCCGGGCACAAUGGCUCAUGCCUGUAAUUCCCAACACUUUGGGAGGCUAAGGCGGGUGGAUCACCUGAGGUCAGGAGUUCAAGACCAGCUUGGCCAAGAUGGUGAAACCCCAUCUCUACUAAAAAUACAAAAAUUAGCCAAGCAUGGUGGCAGGAACCUGUAAUCCCAGCUACUUGGGAGGCUGAGGCAGGAAAAUCACUUGAAGCCAGGAGGCAGAGGUUGCAGUGAGCCAAGAUUGUGCCAUUGCACUCCAGCCUGCGUGACAGAGUGAGACACCAUCUAAAAACUAUAUAAAUAGUGUGUUGGGUACUAGGAAUCUGGUGGUUAGUAGAAAGAUGCGGUUUUGCAUUCAUGGAUCCUCAAACACACCAUUUAUUUAUUAAAAAUUCUGUUGAUACUGGGAUGUAAGUGCUUCAUGGAACUGUGAUGACCAAUCUGCAUGUUCAUAUUUCCCCUCUCCUUCUUUUAAAACACGUUUAAUAUAAUAUUUUCAAAAUAAAAUGUGUGUGUGUGUGUGUGUGUGUGUGUGUGUGUGUGUGACAGGGUCUCACUCUAUCGCCCAGGCUGGAGUACAGUGUUACGAUCACCACUCACUGCAGCUUCAGCCUCCCCAGCUUAAGUGAUCCUCCCACUUCAGCCUUACUCUCGGGAGUAGCUGGGACCACAGGCAUGCACCACCAUGCCUUGCUAAUUUUUUUUUCUUUUUUUUUUUUUUUUUAGAGAUAGGAGUCUCACUAUGUUGCCCAGGGUGGUCUUGAACUUCUGGGCCCAAGUGAUUCUCCAGCCUCAACGUCCCAAAGUGUUAGGAUUUACAGGUGUGAACCACCAUGCCUGGCACAAAAUACCAUUUCAUUCUCAGAUUAAUUUUGUACCAUGGAGACAAGGGGAAGUUUUCUCUUUUCUUUGUAGAUGAAGCAACUUGAGGACAGAUAUUUGGAGGUCUUGUCUGAGGUUCAUUUAAAAUGGGGCAGAGGCCCCAGGCCUUCUAACUCUCCAUCCAGUUCUCUGUAGUAGCCCUUCCUACCCCAGCUUUGGUACUGAUGUCAACCCCAGUGUUUCCUCAUUUACUGAGCAUGUGUGACUUUCAAAAGGCUCUGUUACUCUCUUGAUUUCUGUGAGGAGCGAGAUAGCCAUGACUUUACCCUGACCAUGUGACUGGAAACAUACUGAAUAUUAUUGGAUGGAGAAGUUCACAGUGUUUCACAAACACAUGACAAGUUAUUGUUAACAUUAUAUGAAUGGGAGGUGGCAGGUCAAGUAAGGCCAGAGAAGCAUUCAAGCUGACACCUUGUUCAUGAAUUUAAUCUCUUAUGAGAACAGCUAGAAUGAUCAUAGUGGCCAGUUUGGUAGCCUGAUCAUUUUGGUCAUAUGCAGAAAUGUUCUCAAUGGACUUUGAGAGUUAGAAUUAGUUGGUAUACAGGCUCCUCCUUGGAAAUGUACACACCAAGCAAUUGAGAAAAGCUGGAAAUGCACCUGUCUCAAGUCUCAUUGAAAAUUCCUUUAGGUAUCAUACUCCAAAAGAUUACAUGGAAUUGAACAUUUUUGAAAUAAGGACAGGACUAAUAGACUUUCUUAAGUGGAAAUCUCUCGUCUUUUUUUCCCCUGGUACUUUGAAAACUUAAAAUAAACAUCGUUUCCAGUAUUUGAUGGUUUAUUUACUAACUACCUGUUUGGAGGAAAUGUCAUAUUGUCUCAGAACAAUGGAAGCUCUGCUCACAAGAGAGCAAGGAGAGGGGGUGGUUUUCAGUAGUCAGUUGGGAUAGACCCAGUUUGGCUCACAUUUUUUGCAUCUCUGAGUUCAGAUGAAAAGGAUAGUGAGUGGCACUGCAGAAAACCCAAGAAAACUGGAAAUAGAAAAUGGCAAUUUUGAAACUAAAGCAAUUAAACUAGUGCCCCAUUUGAACAUGCUCAGUGACUUGGCUUAGAACUGUUAGUCAAGAAGAAUGUAUUAAAUGCUGUAUUUGUAAAGACGUCUUCCCUAGUUGAUAGAUUCUCUGCCCUUCAUUGGCUUUUGGAGAAUCAGCUCAAGGGUAAAAGGGUAUAGGAUAGAAGGAGCAAAUGGGCCAGAUGUUUGUGGUCAUUUCCUUCCAUUUCCAGCCAGACAUAGCUGAUUGAUCAUGGUGCCUCUUCUCACUAAACACAGGCAUGUUUGCAACAUCAUUCUCUAUUGGAAUUGGCACAUGAAACUUAUAUACCAUCCUUGAUAAAUGACAUUGUUUUUUUCUGUUGAUGUAGUCCCAAUUUUACCCAUAUUAACUUUUAAAAAAAAAGAUUGUCUUAUCUUAGUAGAAAUAUCUAAGCUCAGCUGAAGAAAUAGAUUCUAUAAAUACCCUUACAACCUAAACGCUAAUUUUAUCCCUAGAUGAGUUGAGAUGUGCACCUGAAUUUGUCUCUUGCAUCUGAAUCAGGGCCAAUUGCUAAGCUCUAUUAACAGAAGUAUGUAAUUAAGAUAAAGGGCAGGAGCAGGACAGCCAGUCCUAAAAUUAGCUCUUGCCUUGAUGUUCCCCAGGUGCAAGUGCACACAGCCUUGGUCCUUUCAUUCUGGAUGCACCCGAUUUCCUUUUCAAGAUGUGUGCAGGCCUUACCAGGAUUUCCAAAAGCUUGGUUCUGGCUCAGGUUGGGAAGCUGAGAUUGUUUUCUCCUGUGGGUUGUUAUUCGUGUUUGAAAUGUCGUCUGGCACCUUAGAAGCUUUUUGCGUAAAUAUUCUUUAAGAUAGGUGUCACAUUAUUUAUGUUUAGCUUGUGAUAGUCCAACGGUCUUCUUACAAGCUGUUUCUGGACUGGUACUUUGAGAAUAAUGUAAUUUUUAUCAGCUGUCCAUUCUUUACAAUGAAGGUAAGUAGUGCAAUUAAGGAAGGGAUUUUUUUUUUUUUUUUUUGAGACAGAGUCUAACUCUGUUGCCCAGGCUGGAGUACAGUGGCAUGAUCUCAGUUCACUGUAACCUCCACUUCCCAGGUUCAAGUGAUUUUCCUGCCUCAGUUUCCAGAGUAGCUGGGACUACAGGUAUACGCCACCAUGUUCGGCUAAAUUUUUACAUUUUUAGUAGAGACGGGGUUUUGCCAUGUUGGCCAGACUGGUCUCGAACUCCUGACCUCAAGUGAUCCGCCUCGAUCUCCCAAAGUGCUGGGAUUACAGGCGUGAGCUACCGCGCCUGGCCUAAAGAAGGGAUUUUAAGCCUACCUGUCAAGGGAUACCAGUAUAGCUACACAUUUCACUCAUGUGACUUUGGGAGGGAAGAGCUUGAACUCUGCUAUUCCUAAUGUGCAUCCUUGGGCAAGGCAUGCACCUUGUCAUGUGCUCUAGUAUCCUAGAUGAAAUGGAGAUGGCAUCAGUACCGACCCCUCAGGGUUGGUAUAAGGAUUAAAUCAAAGACAUAACAGACAUUUGUAAGUCAACGAACACAGUGCUUGGCAUAUGAAGCUAAGAUGUAGGUAACUGCACAUUAGAGGUGGGAGGCCAGGGUAGGAACUAGGGUGAGGCAGGCGAGCCACUUACCUUGGGUGCAAAAUUUAAGAGGCACCAAAACCCUCAAGAAUUAAGAAUUAAUGCAAUACUUUCACUUCUUCCUUCCUGCCUGCCUGCUUUUCUUUCCUUUCUUUUUUAAGGCAGAGUCUUACUCUGUCACCCAGGCUGGAGUGCAAUGGCAUGAUCCCCACACACUGCAACCUCUGCCUCCUGGGCCCAAGCAAUUCGGGACUACAGGUGAGUACCACCAUGCCCAGCUAAUUUUGCAUUUUUUGUAGGGAUGGGGUUUCCCCACAUUGCCCAGGCUAGUCUCAAACUCUUGGGCUCAAGCAAUCUGCCUGCCUUGGCCUCCCAAUGUAUUGAGAUUACAGUCAUGAGCCACUGCUCCCGACUACAGUACUUUUAAAAAUAAAAAUUAGUGUGGUAAAGUCCAUCACGAAUUACAUAUCAAAACUGUAAAUAAAUUCAAGGACUGCCCCUGCACUUGCAUGCCCCUGCCUCCUAGUGUUAUAAGGACAAAAUAAGACCAUGAAUCUGAAAACGGGUUGAAGAUAUAAGUGUAAGUUAUUAUCUGAACACAUUGUUAAAAGCUUAAAAAAUGAACAAAACAAAAAACCUCUCAGCUUUUCAGAGCCUAUUUGGGGCUCAAGACAUUCCAAUCAAGUAUGAAAACAAAGUCAGUAAGUACCAGGAAACAUUCAGGGACCCCUACAAGUUACUCAAAUCUACACUUGUCCCGAAAUUCAGGAUAUCCAUUUGUGUUGGUGACAUCCUAUUUUUUUUCAUUCAACACAGAAGCCAGAGUGGUCAGCUAUUUUUGAGGUGAAAGUUAAAGCAGGCAUAACUGUGCUGUUGACAAUGUUGGCGACUGGCCCCAGUGAAGGGGGUUAUGCAGACAAUACCCCUAAGUACAGUGGCAGAUUGGGAGGGUGGAGGUCUCUCCUCAGUCACAUCACUCCAGAUGAGCCAUCAGCGGCUGCAAGGCAAGAUUUCUACUAACAACGUAGAGAUGUGCCACUUCCAGGAAUCUACCUACAAAUGAGGGCAAAACCAGAGUUAACCUACCAUAGCAGAAACACAACAAAGAACACAAUGAGAUACAGUGAAAGGGAGUCUAACCUCUAGAAACCAUAAUCAGAUCAGCCUGUAGUUUUUCCUUGAGUUGUAAUUAGCAGCUGUUGUUCAGUUCAAGCACUAAGAUGAGCCCAGCUGUCUCAUUCUGAGGACAAUCAACAGUCCAAGAGCAAAAACAUGGCACAGCUUCUAUCAUUAUAAUUAGAAAGAACUCAUUUUUAAGAAUUAUCACACCUAAUAUGAAAUAUUUUGUCCUCAAACUUUUCCUAUUCUAUUUUUUAUCACCACCCCCACCCACUGACUUAUUAACAAUAUUUUUAUGCCCUGAUUCCCUGAAGACAGUUAACAGACCAUUUUAAAAAUAUAUUUUCUCAUUCGACCCUUACUCAAUUCUGGGAGAUAUGCCUGGUAAGGAUUAGUCUCCCCAUCUGACAGCUGACUUAACUAAGGCUCAGAAAGAUGCAGACAACUGCCUGUAAUCCUCAAGUUAAUAAGUCGAAGGACAGAGCCAAGAACCUAGGUUUGCUCAGUUUUAUACCAACGCUCCAUCACAAAAUUACACAUUUAAAAUGCUUCCUAUGCAGACACUAUUCAAAGCACUGUCACUGCCUUUAUAUAACCAGUAAGCCUCAAACAUGGAAGAUUUUAAGAGGAUUUAUAUAGAAAUAAUGUAAAACAUACAUUCAAACAGGUAGAGAGUGAAGAUGGGAAGGAUAUUUGACCACAUUCUCAGCUCAGUGUUUUUAAAUUCUGGCUGCACGCUAGACUUGUCCAAUGAACUUUUUAGAAGUUCUGUACUCCAUUCCCAUAAAUUUUGAUUUAAUCAGUGAAGCAUGAGGCAUUGGUAUUUUUUUAUAUCUUCCCACAUGAGUCUAAUGUAAUGCUACUGUGGAGAACCACUGCUAUAGGUCAAAGAUUAGUAUAAACAGUACAUGAGCCAGGAGUGGUACGUGAGAUGAAUUUGUAAU
This 15041-nucleotide long non-coding RNA is filed under the name Homo sapiens (human). RNAcentral describes it as "HSALNT0055688". Lineage: Eukaryota; Metazoa; Chordata; Mammalia; Primates; Hominidae. The record is from RNAcentral.